Molecule: ribosomal RNA, 440 nt
Filed under: uncultured bacterium
Lineage: Bacteria
Description: partial 16S ribosomal RNA
Rfam family: Bacterial small subunit ribosomal RNA
Source: RNAcentral
CCUACGGGGAGCAGCAGUGGGGAAUAUUGCACAAUGGGGGGAACCCUGAUGCAGCGACGCCGCGUGAGUGAAGAAGUAUUUCGGUAUGUAAAGCUCUAUCAGCAGGGAAGAAAAUGACGGUACCUGACUAAGAAGCCCCGGCUAACUACGUGCCAGCAGCCGCGGUAAGACGUAGGGGGCAAGCGUUAUCCGGAUUUACUGGGUGUAAAGGGAGCGCAGACGGCUGUGCAAGUCUGGAGUGAAAGGCGGGGGACCAACCCCCGGACUGCUCUGGAAACUGUAAAGCGGGAGGGCAGGAGAGGUAAGCGGAAUUCCUAGUGUAGCGGUGAAAUGCGUAGAUAUUAGGAGGAACACCAGUGGCGAAGGCGGCUGACUGGACUGCAACUGACGUUGAGGCUCGAAAGCGUGGGGAGCAAACAGGAUUAGAUACCCGUGUAGUC